UAGAUGGGGCUGAUUUCCUCUUCCAUUGUCUUAGAAAAAAAGAGUUCCUGAUGGUUGAAAAUUUUGUUGAGAGGAUGUUCAUCAAAAUGCUGUUUACGCUAGCAGAGAAUUGGAAAGCACACAACUUCUUAGAAAUGGAGGAUUGGUUAAAUAAUCGUGAUAUGUUAAUACAGUAAAACACUAACAGGCAUUUAAAAAAGUAAAAAGACCAACAAGAGCUUGGAAGAAGCCUCAUAAUGUGACCUAAGGUGAAAAAAAAAAUCCUGACUAUAAAACAUCACGUAUGGGAGUUUGGGAUUGACAUAUACAUACUACUCUUUUUAAAAUAGAUAACCAACAAGUACCUACUGUAUAGCACAGGGAACUCUGCUCAAUAUUCUGUAAUAACCUAAUUGGGAAAGAAUUCGAAAAAGAAUAGGUAUAUGUAUAUGUAUAACUGAAUCACUUUGCUGCACACCUGAAACUAACAUAGCAUUAUAAAGCAAGUAUAGUCUAACAUAAAAUAAAAAUUUAAAAAAUUAUAUACAUGUUGUCCUACUUGUGUAACAUUAUGUGCAUAUGUGUAGGAAAAUAUAGAAAAAUGUUAACAGUGGUUAUCUCUUGGGAUUGGGGUGAUGUUUAAUUUCUUAUUUACUUGCUUAUAUAUCUGCAAUAAGGAAAACGCAAAAACUUAAUGCAAAUUGCUUUGUAUUUUAGUGGUAAAUAAAUAGUAUAUUAGAAAAUACUACAGAAAAGUACAAAGAAGAAAAUAAAUAGUCCUGGAAGUCCUCACUUCCAUAGAAAAUCGAUAUUAGUAUUUGGUUAUGAGGCAUUGAAAUAAUUCUUGAUAAAUUUAUGUGCAUAUAGACACAAAACAUUUUAUACAUGGGAUCAUAAAACACAGUAUUCUGUUGGCUUACUUGUUUUUUUAAAACUCAAAUAAAUAUAGAUUCACAAUUUUUAAAUCUCAUAGUCUUUAACUUUACUUCAACUCAUUUACUUUAUCAAUUUCCUAUUGAUAAAUAUUUGUUUUUGAAAAAUUCAGUUAUUAACAAUGGUUCAAUGAACUUUCAUAUACAUUGAUAUAAUAAAAUCAUUAAAAAAAUUUUAAGAAGUAUUUACCCUUCAGAUGGGUCCCCAUAGCACUUAGCCUUCCUUAUAACAUAGGCCAAGUAUGGCCAGGUAGCAUUGACAGAUAUACAUUACCAAAUGUAAAAUAGAUAGCUAGUGGGAGGCUGCUGCAUAACACAGGGAGAUCACCUUGAUGAUGGGUGAUGGCUUAGAGGGCUGAGAUAAGGAGGGUGGGAAGGAGUCAGGAGGGAGGGGAUAUGAGGAUAUAUGUAUAAAUACAGCUGAUUCCCUUUGUUGUACAGCAAAAAUGGGCAAAACAGUGUAAAGCAAUUAUACUCCAAUAAAGAGCCUAAAGAAAAAAAAAGAAAUUGAACCACAGGAAAAUAAAUAAAUAUCAAAAUCAAAAUUAAAAAUAAAUAAAAAUUAAAGCCUAAAAAAAAAAGAAACUAACCUCACAAAGUUGUAGAGUGUUGUAGCACAUGAUUAAGGAAACUCCUACCCUACAAAAUAUUUUGCCCCCAAGAUGCAAUUUAACUGUUUUAGCAAGGAACACAUCUUUUCCUUUGUACAAUGAAAGAUCUAGAGCGAGGGAAAUGUUUGUUCUAAAGUCAACCUUAUUGACAAGUAAAGUUGUUUAUGAUGGGCAGUUUUGCUGUUUCUCAUAUGCUGGGCUUUACACAAGGCCAUGAUGUUCGCUUGGGCAUAAUUCCAAGGGCCUCCAUCCUCAUUCUCGUCUGUGUGGAUGGCCCUGCUAGGUGAAACCUAUGGGGUAGGCCACUGAGGCCGUGGUAUUUGGAUUAGUUUGUUUCCUGCUAGGUUGGUUUGUUGGUUUAUUGAUUCUCCAGCCAGACCAUUUCUAAAAGAAAUACAUGAGAGAAAAAUCCCAGGAGUAUGUUUCAGGGUUUCAGAAUAGUAGCAAUGAAGAUAGUGUUCAUACAGAAGUUCAGAAAGAGAAUAAAGGCUUCUUUCAUAAUUUGGACAGAGUUGGUUUGACUAAGGUUUUCAGCAAAGCACAUAACCAAAUGUAGAAAUGAAGGUUGCUGACUUGGGCUCUUGUGCUAACCACUAAAUUCAGCUUCCUCUCUUAGCUGCACAGGGCAGAAGCACAGGAAGAAAAAAAAAAUGCCACUCUUUCUGGAACAAGCAGACUUCUGGAAAAUGGCCAGUUCUAGUGCUUGACCUAUAUGAUGCAUCCUUUUAUGAGGUGUGUACCACACCCAGAAAUCUUGGAGAAAUCAUCAUGACACAGAUGAGAUAAUCUCAAAACCUUCUGAUUUCAUGUUGAAAUGAAUAACGUCAGCAGAAGAUUCUGAUUAGCAUUAAAAUUCUGUACUCUGGAAAUAGGCUGUAAUUCUAGGAUCCUAGAAAAUUUAAAUCAGUGUCAAUUCUGUUUGUUUGGGCAGUUGAUGGGAAAAUGGUGUUUCAAGUCCGCAUAUCAGGGGCACGAAUACACAUACUAAAAUAAGAAAUAAGGCAGCAGAUUAGAAUGAGGUAACACAAUGUUCAUGAAGGCAAUAUGUCCAGAAGAUAAUUUUAUUAAAGUGUCAUCAGAGUAUUUGUCAAGUAGAGAAUCACAUCUUCUCUAUCAUGUCUCUUAUUUCACUGGACAUAAAUAUGUAUACCUGCAGUCAUUCUUUUUGGACCUAAGAGAAAUACUUUAUACCAAGAACAAAUUCAUAUACAAGUCGUUUCUUCCUUACUGUAUUAGCUUUGCUGAAUUAGCAGAAGAGGCCUUUGAAUCCCAUCCUGAUGUCAGCACGUCUGAACGGACUAAUUGCUUGACUAAUUCACUCGUUCAAUUCAGCAAAGACAAAAAGAAGAACUCUUGCCUAAGGGAGGAAAAACUCACAAAAGGAAAUCUUAGAAUAUUCUCCUCUCAGAAACUUUGAAAACAAUACCAAAUGUGGCUGGAUUUCAGUGAAUUAUUUGCCAUCAAAGACUGGACUAGCAGGUCAACCUGGCCAGGAUCUCACUGCUACAGCAUCCCAAGAGGGCGAGAAUGGAAGCUGCAUAGCUUCUUGAGAUCCAGACUCAACUCACACAACCUUGCGGUACUUCCAUUGGUUCUACGGGUCAAAGCAAGUCACAAGGCCAGUCCAGAUUCAGGGAAUGUGGAAACAGACUCCACCUCUUGAUGGGAGGAGCUGACAAGUAUUUCUGGCCAUUUUUAAUUUAAUCCAUCACACACAUUCUUAUCAAUGAAUUAUUUUUUAUUUAUUGUUAUUUAUUUUGAGAAAUUUCCCAGUAAACUUUUUUUAAAAAAAAAAUUCACCAGUACAAUAAAGAGGUGUGGUAAGGAAAUAAAAACUUGUAACAGUUUUAUGCAUGUAGUGACCCAAAUUGAAGAAAAAAUUCUUUAUAUAUUAAAAUUGACAUGAGUUGUGAGUUUUAGAGAUAAGUGAAACAAAUAUACUUGGAGUGUAGACACUGUCCCCAAAUGUUGUUUGUGGAAUGGAUUAUUUUAUCAUGGAGUGGUGAGUAAGGCUCGUUGGUCCCCAGAGGUUUAGGCGAUGCUUAGUGCCCUGGAGCCUUGACCCUGAGCUAAUGUUGUGAGGUGGGCCCACUCAUAAAUUAGACACUGCUGGGGAUGGGACUUUCAUGGGGCCUUUAGCUUUGGUACAGCCCCCUUACCUCCUCUUUGUUUCUAGAGCUGGUAAAGAGAUGCUUUCUGUACAUCUUGAGCAGGAAGAUGGAAAGAGUCUGUCAAAAGAGCUUGGGGCUGUGAGAGUUAGGGGUUUGUUUUCCCUUCAUAGAAGGAGUCAGGUGAGCACAGGAGACCUUAGGAUUGCACAGAUCUGUUAUGCUCUCUGCUUUAUCAUUUUACUUUAUUUGUUUGUGUGUAUUCCAAUAAAACUUUGCUUGUUGUUAUAUUUUUAUU
Long non-coding RNA from Hippopotamus amphibius kiboko, 3928 nucleotides. RefSeq lists it as uncharacterized. The transcript has 3 exons. NCBI's taxonomy places the organism in Eukaryota, Metazoa, Chordata, Mammalia, Artiodactyla, Hippopotamidae. The record is from RefSeq and is a predicted model, not a curated record.